Molecule: long non-coding RNA, 659 nt
Organism: Centruroides sculpturatus (bark scorpion)
Lineage: Eukaryota; Metazoa; Arthropoda; Arachnida; Scorpiones; Buthidae
Exons: 3
Source: RefSeq, a predicted model, not a curated record
CUAAAUCAAUUUACUUAAUUUACAUUAAAAUAACAGAUUUUUGUCUGUUUUAUAUCAUUUCAAACGAAUUGUUUAACGAAAGAAAUCCGAUCAACAGUGUUUGUUAUCAUAAUACGAGUAGAUAAGAAGUAUUUGAACAGAAAAUCAAUUAUAUUUAAUUUGAAGAGAUAAAAGAAGACGAAAAUAAUGCGUUUUUUAAACAAGUAUAAAUAGAAAAGGAAACCCAGAAUAGAGUAAAUAGAAGAAUCAAAGAGGAUUAUUAAUGCAGUCAGAUAUCCAUUAAUGUAAUGAAAAUCCGAAAGGUUCUAAGCUUUACUACUUGUUUAUUUUUCCUUUCACGUCUGCCUGUCCUCAGGAAAGAAGAAUCCAAAUGAACUGGCAGCUAAAUGGAAAAGUUAAGAGAGAGAAAUAGACUUAAUAAGUGAGAGAAAAGGACAUCUAUCAUCUAUGCGAAGCAUUUCGUGAUUCGCCAAGUGUCUCGCAGAACAGAAAUUUUCAUUAAUAACAAAAAGGAUCUGUACUUCAAAUUUUUCGAAGUUUUUAUCUGCCAUUUCUUCGUAAAAGUCUAUUGAGGAUAAACUUAAAUAUUUCAUGCAGCUGUAAAUAUCGAUGGGGAAGAAAAUAAGAUUUAUUUUUCUAUAAGUAAGUAUUAAACUAUA